AGAGACUUAGGCUAAUAACAGACCAAGGGCCUUCAAAGCCCUAAGUGGGGGGGAGACUCCCCCAGUCCCUG
This 71-nucleotide transfer RNA is filed under the name Eumicrotremus spinosus (Atlantic spiny lumpsucker). Its description in RNAcentral is "tRNA-Trp". It matches the Rfam family "tRNA". Rfam says of the family: Transfer RNA (tRNA) molecules are approximately 80 nucleotides in length. Their secondary structure includes four short double-helical elements and three loops (D, anti-codon, and T loops). The record is from RNAcentral. Lineage: Eukaryota; Metazoa; Chordata; Actinopteri; Perciformes; Cyclopteridae.